This 465-nucleotide ribosomal RNA is filed under the name uncultured bacterium. Its description in RNAcentral is "partial 16S ribosomal RNA". It matches the Rfam family "Bacterial small subunit ribosomal RNA", at positions 28 to 507 of the family's 1533-position model. The record is from RNAcentral.
GACGAACGCUGGCGGCGUGCUUAACACAUGCAAGUCGUACGGUAAGGCCCUUUCGGGGGUACACGAGUGGCGAACGGGUGAGUAACACGUGCGUAACCUGCCCACAACUUUGGGAUAACGCUAGGAAACUGGUGCUAAUACUGGAUAUGUGCUCCUGCUGCAUGGUGGGGGUUGGAAAGCUCCGGCGGUUGUGGAUGGACUCGCGGCCUAUCAGCUUGUUGGUGGGGUAGUGGCCUACCAAGGCGGCGACGGGUAGCCGGCCUGAGAGGGUGACCGGCCACAUUGGGACUGAGAUACGGCCCAGACUCCUACGGGAGGCAGCAGUGGGGAAUAUUGCACAAGGGGCGCAAGCCGGAUGCAGCAACGCCGCGUGCGGGAUGACGGCCUUCGGGUUGUAAACCGCUUUCAGCAGGGACGAAGCUUUUUGUGACGGUACCUGCAGAAGAAGCACCGGCUAACUACGUG